AGCAGCAUGGCGCAGUGGUAGCGUGCGGGGCCCAUAACCCCGAGGUCACUUGAUCGAAACAAGUUGCUGCUA
Molecule: transfer RNA, 72 nt
Filed under: Lentinula guzmanii
Lineage: Eukaryota; Fungi; Basidiomycota; Agaricomycetes; Agaricales; Omphalotaceae
Rfam family: tRNA
About the family: Transfer RNA (tRNA) molecules are approximately 80 nucleotides in length. Their secondary structure includes four short double-helical elements and three loops (D, anti-codon, and T loops).
Source: Rfam by way of RNAcentral